UGUGUAUGGGCGCAACCAAGUGCAUAAUUGGAGGGGGGCACUCACCCAUUUUCCUUAACAAACGGAAAUAUAUUAAAAAUGAGUAGACGUAAAUAAAUAGAAUAGAUGAAAAGACAGAUCAGUUUGAAAGGUUCAUUAAAGGGGGACAUAUAGAAAACAUUUUCUACUGUAUAUUGGGAGGGAAAGAUUGGUAUUACCUCAACAUUGGCGGGGACACGCCCCCCCCUCAAAAAGAAUACGUGGUUACGCCCAUAGUUGUAGGAGACACAGCAGCGACGGAGUCGGAGUAGGAGACACAUUUUUCCUCAGGAGUCACGACACAGCAGACACGGGGUUUUCUUUCUUCAAUUUUAACUUUUCUCAGGAGUUUAAGUCAUCUGGUAGGCGUGGUUGAGUGCGCAGGUGCGUCAUUCAAACCGAGCGAGAUGACCGUUGAGGAUCAGACAGCGCGAGACAGCUCCUUUCAGGGUGGUUCCUACUAGGUCUGCUAAUGGGACCGCCCUCCUGACUGGCUGCCUAUAAAGUCACCCGCUCUAGCGGUGCUGAGCAGCGAGAUGUCACAGAGAAGAGUGUGUCCAGUUUGUCGGCGUUUCUACACCAACGUGCAGGCUCAUCUCGCCCAGAUUCAUCAGCAGGGUCCAGAGGAACGCUGGCUUCACCUGGCGGCAGCGAGCGAGCGGGUGAUAUGCGGGUGCUCUGGACUGCCCGGUGUCUGCAUGUGGCAAGAAAGGUUUCCGCCGGCUAGACUGCCACCUGUUCCACCUUCACCAGCUCGCCGGGGACACGGUCAGGAAGCUACUGCUCAGCGCCAAAAUAAAGCUGCAACAACUGCAAGCUUUCGGUGAGACGAACAAAUCUAAAAGUUGCAAAUGUUCUGAACUGAUCGAAAAGUAGCAAAACUCUCCGCAGAAUUUGAGCGGCUGCAAGCGAUAGUAGCCCGGAAAGAGUAGUGGCUCUGUGGAGCCAAUGUUAAGUGUACACGGCUUGGCUGACAAGUCUCAGAGAUGUCCCCAAAGCCGCGGCCAACGGCAAGCAGGAGAGGAGACACGUCGAGCGCUUCCUUCACUUUAUGUGGGCCAACACAGACAGUCCCCUGGCAGCUGCUGGCUCAUUACCCAAAAACACUUAAAAUUUAACAUAGAAGCCAAUACUCACAUCAACCUCUGAACCCAGUUGGAGAUAGAAAAAAAGACACCAGCCGUGAGUGAGAAGAAGCAAGGGUCCAGAUUUAUUGUUCCGUUCCACCACACGAGAUCCACACCGAUGAGAAUUCUCAGAAGUGAUCUGAUACCCUGAGCUUAAGCUCCAGUAUUUAUACUGUAAUUACACAGUAAAUAACCCAUAUGUUUCAAGAAGAC
Molecule: long non-coding RNA, 1358 nt
Organism: Ictalurus punctatus (channel catfish)
Lineage: Eukaryota; Metazoa; Chordata; Actinopteri; Siluriformes; Ictaluridae
Source: Ensembl